GAUGAACGCUGGCGGCGUGCCUAAUACAUGCAAGUCGAGCGAACGGACGAUAAUCUUGCUUUUCUGAUGUUAGCGGCGGACGUGUGAGUAACACGUGUAUAACCUACCUAUAUUUCUUGGAUAACUUCGUGAAACCGGUUCUUAUACCGUAUAAUAUUUUGAACCGCAUGGUUCAAUAGUUAAAGUCGGUCUUUCUGUCUCUUAUAGAUUGUUCCGCGCUGCCUUAGCUAGUUGGUAAGGUAACGGCUUACCAAGGCAACGAUGCAUAUCCGACCUGAGAGGGUGAGCGGCAACACGGGAACUGAGACACGGACAAGACAACUACGGGAGGCAGCAGUAGGGAAUAGUACGCAAUGGGCGAAAGCAUGACGGAGCAAAGCCGCGUGAGAGAAGAAGGUCUGCGGAUCGUAAAACUCGGUUAUGAGGGAAGAAAAUAAGUGUAAGGAAAAGUGGACAGAGUGACGGUAACUAAUCAGAAAGCAACGGCUAACUACGUG
This 497-nucleotide ribosomal RNA is filed under the name uncultured bacterium. RNAcentral describes it as "partial 16S ribosomal RNA". It matches the Rfam family "Bacterial small subunit ribosomal RNA", at positions 28 to 507 of the family's 1533-position model. The record is from RNAcentral.